This 317-nucleotide long non-coding RNA is filed under the name Sus scrofa (pig). Its description in RNAcentral is "lncRNA (ENSSSCG00035005903.1)". Lineage: Eukaryota; Metazoa; Chordata; Mammalia; Artiodactyla; Suidae. The record is from RNAcentral.
CCUUUUUCAUAUAAGUUUAUUAAACUAUUAGAUUUGCACAAUACACAUUAGGCAGAUGAACCGAGCUUUUUUUUUUUAAUAAUACAUUGGAUGGUAAAAUACUUCACAGAAGAGAAUUAAAUUUCAAAUUAUAUUUUCCCAUAGGAUCUGUUCAUCCCCGUCACAAUGAACAAACAUCUCUAUGCUUUGAAGUGGUUAUUUACAGCUUAUGAUCAUAAACCCCAGAAGUGGAAAAUGAACUGAAGUGCACUUUAGAGCCUUGGAAUAUGCUCCAGGCAGAGUAAGGAAAUGUAAAAAAGGUUUUAAUACUUUCUUUA